CGGGAUGUAGUCCCGCCCUGGGCGGGACGCUUCGUUCGGGUCGAAGAGGCCGCUUGUUCGAAUCCAGUCAUCCCGACAA
RNAcentral lists this transfer RNA (79 nucleotides) under Chitinophagaceae bacterium. RNAcentral's name for it is "tRNA-Pro". It matches the Rfam family "tRNA". Rfam says of the family: Transfer RNA (tRNA) molecules are approximately 80 nucleotides in length. Their secondary structure includes four short double-helical elements and three loops (D, anti-codon, and T loops). The record is from RNAcentral. Lineage: Bacteria; Pseudomonadati; Bacteroidota; Chitinophagia; Chitinophagales; Chitinophagaceae.